This 87-nucleotide transfer RNA is filed under the name archaeon. RNAcentral's name for it is "tRNA-Leu". It matches the Rfam family "tRNA". From Rfam's summary of the family: Transfer RNA (tRNA) molecules are approximately 80 nucleotides in length. The record is from RNAcentral. RNAcentral also lists the same sequence under 2 other names.
GCAGGGGUCGCCCAGUUGGUCAAAGGCGCCGGGCUUAGGACCCGGUCUCGUAGGAGUUCGAGGGUUCAAAUCCCUUCCCCUGCACCA